This 383-nucleotide ribosomal RNA is filed under the name uncultured bacterium. RNAcentral's name for it is "bacterial SSU rRNA". It matches the Rfam family "Bacterial small subunit ribosomal RNA", at positions 29 to 414 of the family's 1533-position model. The record is from RNAcentral.
AUUGAACGCUGGCGGCAUGCUUUACACAUGCAAGUCGAACGGCAGCGGGGGCUUCGGCCUGCCGGCGAGUGGCGAACGGGUGAGUAAUGCAUCGGAACGUGCCCAGUCAUGGGGGAUAACUACGCGAAAGCGUAGCUAAUACCGCAUACGCCCUGAGGGGGAAAGUGGGGGAUCUUCGGACCUCACGUGAUUGGAGCGGCCGAUGUCAGAUUAGCUAGUUGGUGAGGUAAAGGCUCACCAAGGCGACGAUCUGUAGCGGGUCUGAGAGGAUGAUCCGCCACACUGGGACUGAGACACGGCCCAGACUCCUACGGAGGCAGCAGUGGGGAAUUUUGGACAAUGGGCGCAAGCCUGAUCCAGCCAUGCCGCGUGAGUGAAGAAGG